AGGUAGGUGAGUGAUUUCAUACUAAAUCUCAUUUUACCCUUACCCUUACAUGCAUUUCGGACUUCAAAAGUGGGAGUGAAGUUAUGGAAAUUUUUGAAAACAUCUGUGAUCACAAUUGUGAGACCGUCCAUGAAGAUACAGCAUAUAGAGGCUGAGGAAUUUGCUCCAGAACAGGUGCCCCAAGGAAUAAGAAAGUGCAACUUUAAAAGCUUAGUGGGGCCUCCACAUUUUUAUACGUGUUUGCGUGGGACGCAUGGUAUUAUUCUGUCCAGAAUUCCAGUCUUCACUGUGUGAGGUAUUUGGUCCCUCUUGGUCCUGUUGGUAAUGGUUACUAUCAAGAGGAAGAUAAAGACAAGAAGGAAGAAGUCCUUUGUCAAAGAAUGAG
RNAcentral lists this long non-coding RNA (385 nucleotides) under Athene cunicularia (burrowing owl). Its description in RNAcentral is "lncRNA (ENSACUG00000007822.1)". Lineage: Eukaryota; Metazoa; Chordata; Aves; Strigiformes; Strigidae. The record is from RNAcentral.